CCCGCUGAAUUUAAGCAUAUUAAUAAGCGGAGGAAAAGAAACUAACAAGGAUUCCCCUAGUAAUGGCGAAUGAAGCGGGAACAGCUCAAAUUUAAAAUCUCCGUUGCUUGCAACGGCGAAUUGUAGUUUCGAGAAGCACUUUCUCGGCGGAUCCGAGGUCGUCCAAGUUGCUUGGAACAGCACGUCGUAGAGGGUGACAACCCCGUCUGCGGCGACCUCGGCCGUUCACGAUGUGCUUUCGACGAGUCGGGUUGUUUGGGAAUGCAGCCCAAAAUGGGUGGUAAACUCCAUCUAAAGCUAAAUAUUGGCACGAGACCGAUAGCGAACAAGUACCGUGAGGGAAAGAUGAAAAGCACUUUGAAAAGAGAGUUAAAAAGUACGUGAAACCGUUAAAAGGGAAACGAAUGGGGUUAGCAAUGCGUCGUGCGAGAUUCAGCCGGUGGGUGGNCCAGGCGGGCGGUUGGCGGAUCUGAAUGGACCGCUGCCGUUCGGGUUGGUUUCCCGACCGUCGCACUUCUCGCAGGCGCGCGCCAACGUCGGUUAGGGCUGGGUUUCAAAGGCGGUGGGAAAGGUAGGUUUGGACUCUCGGGCCCGAACUGUUACAGUCCUCCGUUUGUCAUGGCCCGGACCUGACCGAGGAGCUUGCGGUGCAUGCCGUUCGGCUAGGGUCCCGUCUUCCCGGUCGGUCGUCGAAUGCGGUGGACUGCGUGCAGUGCGCCGCGACUGCUGCCGGUCGCGAGGGCGGUGAUUUCGUACUAUGCACCCACGACGUUGGCGGUCAUAUGGCCUCAUCCGACCCGUCUUGAAACACGG
This 813-nucleotide ribosomal RNA is filed under the name Nematostella vectensis (starlet sea anemone). RNAcentral describes it as "Eukaryotic large subunit ribosomal RNA". It matches the Rfam family "Eukaryotic large subunit ribosomal RNA", at positions 24 to 664 of the family's 3401-position model. Lineage: Eukaryota; Metazoa; Cnidaria; Anthozoa; Actiniaria; Edwardsiidae. The record is from Rfam by way of RNAcentral.